This 644-nucleotide long non-coding RNA is filed under the name Androctonus crassicauda. Lineage: Eukaryota; Metazoa; Arthropoda; Arachnida; Scorpiones; Buthidae. The record is from RNAcentral.
UUUAACUCUGGUGGAGCAAAUUGAAAUUAAAUUGGUUUUUUUACUAAUUUUCUAAUAAAGUAGACUUAUUGUUAGUGGAAUUUGCUUUUGGUUGUAUAGGAUUUAUAAUGAUUUUUCCAAGGUGGGAUUUAAAAUUUGUGAGCUGAUAAGCUACCAUUUGGGAAGAAUUUUAUGACAUUGGCAUAUAUGGGUAGUAAUACAUGACAACAUUACCAUUUUGCUUGUAAUUGUUGAUUUGAAUCUACCAGCUCAUUUGAAAAUGAAAAUAGAUCUUGUUGUGAAUUGAAAGAUGAAAAUCAUCUUAUGCAAACAUUUGUCUGUUGUUGUAAGUUUCACAAUCAUGAUAUGUUCAACAGAUGUUAUUAAUGCAUAUGAUCAAACAGACUGUAGGCAUUUGGAGAUGAGUUUAAAUUGUAUAUCAUGCAUAGUAGACAUUCACCAAAAUAACCAGGAAAUAUGCAUAUGCCAUAGAAACAGUAUACAGAUGAAUCAAAUACAACUUUCAGAAAGAUAUCAACAGAUUGAAUGCAUAACAUAGUUUGUAUGGAAGUAGCCUCUGGACCAAAAAGAUCUAAGGCAUCAAGUCCUGAGGCAAUCAGAGAACUCAGAUGACAAGAAUUACCUACUAUACUGGAAAAAAAGGA